This 219-nucleotide long non-coding RNA is filed under the name Capsicum annuum. RNAcentral describes it as "long non-coding RNA (CANN_LNC012594)". Lineage: Eukaryota; Viridiplantae; Streptophyta; Magnoliopsida; Solanales; Solanaceae. The record is from RNAcentral.
CCGAGGAUAGGUUACGAGUGGUAAGGUUGAUUGUUAUGUUGUUGAGUGUCUAAUCCUUUGAGUUAUUUCUUGAAUAUGAAUAGACCAUAUGAGACCUGUGGUUAGGUCACCAGUGAGGUCAUAGAGUCAUAAGUAGGAUAGUGUAUAUGUGUCUAACUCAUUGUCUAGGAUACUACUCAUGGCUAUGAGUCGUAUGAUGUUGUGAUGAGUCAAUGGGCU